GAUGAAGAACGUAGCGAAAUGCGAUAAGUAAUGUGAAUUGCAGAAUUCAGUGAAUCAUCGAAUCUUUGAACGCACAUUGCGCCCGCCAGUAUUCUGGCGGGCAUGCCUGUUCGAGCGUCAUUUCAACCAUCAAGCCCCCGGGCUUGUGUUGGGGACCUGCGGCUGCCCGCAGGCCCUGAAAACCAGUGGCGGGCUCGCUGUCACUCCGAGCGUAGUAGUAUCACCUCGCUCAGGGCGUGCUGCGGGUUCCGGCCGUUAAACCACCCAUUACCCCAAGGUUGACCUCGGAUCAGGUAGGAAUACCCGCUGAACUUAAGCAUAUCAAUAAGCGGAGGA
Molecule: unclassified non-coding RNA, 336 nt
Filed under: soil metagenome
Description: partial contains 5.8S ribosomal RNA, internal transcribed spacer 2, and large subunit ribosomal RNA
Rfam family: 5.8S ribosomal RNA (bases 1-120)
Source: RNAcentral